RNAcentral lists this ribosomal RNA (440 nucleotides) under uncultured bacterium. RNAcentral's name for it is "partial 16S ribosomal RNA". It matches the Rfam family "Bacterial small subunit ribosomal RNA", at positions 338 to 795 of the family's 1533-position model. The record is from RNAcentral.
CCUACGGGUGGCUGCAGUGGGGAAUAUUGGGCAAUGGAGGCAACUCUGACCCAGCCAUGCCGCGUGGGUGACGAAGGUCUUCGGAUUGUAAAGCCCUUUCGGCGGGGACGAUGAUGACGGUACCCGCAGAAGAAGCCCCGGCUAACUUCGUGCCAGCAGCCGCGGUAAUACGAAGGGGGCUAGCGUUGUUCGGAAUUACUGGGCGUAAAGGGCGUGUAGGCGGCCCGUUAAGACAGGUGUGAAAUUCCUGGGCUAAACCCAGGACGGGCGCCUGUGACUGGCGGGCUGGAGUCCGGGAGAGGAUGGUGGAACUCCCAGUGUAGAGGUGAAAUUCGUAGAUAUUGGGAAGAACACCCGUGGCGAAGGCGGCCAUCUGGACCGGUACUGACGCUAAGGCGCGACAGCGUGGGGAGCAAACAGGAUUAGAUACCCUAGUAGUC